AGGUCGCCAUGGCUGUUACUGGCUCCCUUGCUGUCCCCAGCCAUCCCCCAGGUCACCUCCCCACCCUGCUGCCUGUGCCCUGAAGGUGUGCACAGGUUCCAGUGGAUCAGAAACCUCGUUCCAGAGUUUGGCGUCUCCAGCUCUCAUGUCAAAGUGCUUUCUUCCCCUGCAGAGUUCUUCGAGCUUAUGAAGGGGCAGAUAAAAGUAGCCAAGAGGAGGGUUGUGAUGGCAUCUCUCUACCUGGGGACAGGUCCUUUGGAACAGGAGCUGGUGGAUUGCCUGGAAAAUACUCUAGAAAAGUCUCUUCAAGCAAAGCUUCCUUCUGACCUCAAGGUCUCCAUUCUCCUGGACUUCACCCGCGGCUCACGAGGUAGG
Long non-coding RNA from Dipodomys ordii (Ord's kangaroo rat), 375 nucleotides. RefSeq lists it as uncharacterized. The record is from RefSeq and is a predicted model, not a curated record. Lineage: Eukaryota; Metazoa; Chordata; Mammalia; Rodentia; Heteromyidae. The transcript is spliced from 3 exons.